Molecule: ribosomal RNA, 328 nt
Filed under: uncultured eukaryote
Lineage: Eukaryota
Description: partial 18S ribosomal RNA
Rfam family: Eukaryotic small subunit ribosomal RNA
Source: RNAcentral
CCCUUAGAUGUCCGGGGCUGCACGCGCGCUACACUGAAGGAAUCAGCGUGCUAAAACCAUUGUCGAAAGGCAUUGGUAAACCCAUUAAAAUCCUACGUGAUUGGGAUCGGGAAUUGCAAUUAUUUCCCUUGAACGAGGAAUUCCCAGUAAGUGUGGGUCAUAAGCUCGCGUUGACUACGUCCCUGCCCUUUGUACACACCGCCCGUCGCUGCCCGGGACUGAGCCGUUUCGAGAAAAGCGGGGACUGCUGCUGUCGGGGCUUUCGGGCCUUGGCUUCGGUGGAAACCGCUUUAAUCGCAGUGGCUUGAACCGGGCAAAAGUCGUAACA